RNAcentral lists this ribosomal RNA (303 nucleotides) under uncultured bacterium. RNAcentral describes it as "partial 16S ribosomal RNA". It matches the Rfam family "Bacterial small subunit ribosomal RNA", at positions 507 to 807 of the family's 1533-position model. The record is from RNAcentral.
AGCAGUAGCCACGUUAAUACAGAGGGUGCGAGCGUUAAUCGGAUUUACUGGGCGUAAAGCGUGCGUAGGCGGCUUCUUAAGUCGGAUGUGAAAUCCCUGAGCUUAACUUAGGAAUUGCAUUCGAUACUGGGAAGCUAGAGUAUGGGAGAGGAUGGUAGAAUUCCAGGUGUAGCGGUGAAAUGCGUAGAGAUCUGGAGGAAUACCGAUGGCGAAGGCAGCCAUCUGGCCUAAUACUGACGCUGAGGUACGAAAGCAUGGGGAGCAAACAGGAUUAGAUACCCCCGUAGUCCCUGUCUCUUAUAC